Molecule: ribosomal RNA, 150 nt
Filed under: Pseudoxanthomonas sp. SA134
Lineage: Bacteria; Pseudomonadati; Pseudomonadota; Gammaproteobacteria; Lysobacterales; Lysobacteraceae
Also listed under: 1 other name
Description: partial 16S ribosomal RNA
Rfam family: Bacterial small subunit ribosomal RNA
Source: RNAcentral
UCCUACGGGAGGCAGCAGUGGGGAAUAUUGGACAAUGGGGGCAAGCCUGAUCCAGCCAUACCGCGUGGGUGAAGAAGGCCUUCGGGUUGUAAAGCCCUUUUGUUGGGAAAGAAAAGCAUUCGGUUAAUACCCGGGGUUCUGACGUACCCA